UGUGUGCUCAGGGAACUUGGCUUUGUGG
This 28-nucleotide non-coding RNA is filed under the name Mus musculus (house mouse). The record is from RNAcentral. Lineage: Eukaryota; Metazoa; Chordata; Mammalia; Rodentia; Muridae.